Molecule: ribosomal RNA, 202 nt
Filed under: Clostridioides difficile
Lineage: Bacteria; Bacillati; Bacillota; Clostridia; Peptostreptococcales; Peptostreptococcaceae
Description: partial 23S ribosomal RNA
Rfam family: Bacterial large subunit ribosomal RNA
Source: RNAcentral
GUCAGACUGUGGGUGAUAAGAUUCAUAGUCGAAAGGGCAACAGCCCAGAUCGUCAGCUAAGGUCCCUAAAUGUAAGUUAAGUGGUAAAGGAUGUGGGAUUGCACAGACAACCAGGAUGUUGGCUUAGAAGCAGCCACUCAUUCAAAGAGUGCGUAAUAGCUCACUGGUCGAGUGAUCCUGCGCCGAAGAUUUCCGGGGCUAA